GACGAACGCUGGCGGCGUGCUUAACACAUGCAAGUCGAACGGAAAGGCCCUGCUCUUGUGGGGUGCUCGAGUGGCGAACGGGUGAGUAACACGUGAGUAACCUGCCCUUGACUUUGGGAUAACUUCAGGAAACUGGGGCUAAUACCGGAUAGGAGCUCCUGCUGCAUGGUGGGGGUUGGAAAGUUUCGGCGGUUGGGGAUGGACUCGCGGCUUAUCCGCUUGUUGGUGGGGUAGUGGCUUACCAGGGCUUUGACGGGUAGCCGGCCUGAGAGGGUGAACGGCCACAAUGGGACUGAGAUAGGGCCCAGAAUCCAACGGGAGGCAGCAGUGGGGAAUAUUGCGCAGUGGGCGGAAGCGUGAUGCAGCAACGCCGCGUGCGGAAUGACGGCCUUCGGGUUGUAAACCGCUUUCGCCGGUGACGAGGCGGGAGUGACGGUAAUGGGUAAAGAAGCACCGGCUAACUACGUG
RNAcentral lists this ribosomal RNA (468 nucleotides) under uncultured bacterium. RNAcentral's name for it is "partial 16S ribosomal RNA". It matches the Rfam family "Bacterial small subunit ribosomal RNA", at positions 28 to 507 of the family's 1533-position model. The record is from RNAcentral.